RNAcentral lists this ribosomal RNA (247 nucleotides) under uncultured bacterium. RNAcentral describes it as "partial 16S ribosomal RNA". It matches the Rfam family "Bacterial small subunit ribosomal RNA", at positions 523 to 769 of the family's 1533-position model. The record is from RNAcentral.
AUACGUAGGUGGCGAGCGUUGUCCGGAAUUAUUGGGCGUAAAGGAUGCGUAGGUGGAUAUUUAAGUGGGAUGUGAAAUCCCCGGGCUCAACCCGGGAACUGCAUUCCAUACUGGAUAUCUAGAGUGCAGGAGAGGAAAGCGGAAUUCCUAGUGUAGCGGUGAAAUGCGUAGAUAUUAGGAGGAACACCAGUGGCGAAGGCGGCUACCUGGUCUGUAACUGACGCUCAAGCACGAAAGCGUGGGGAGC